CAUCCACGGAUUGAGGUUUAUCGAGUGUAUGUACAUUGUGUAGGGAUGCUAAACAUUUCAUCAUAGUAUUAGCAGAACAAUAACAGGGUGAAGCAUCUUGUUGAAGAUUCCCUUGGCAGCUGGCGACCAUCCAAAGUGUACCACUAACGGUGUCUCUCAUCUCUCUUUACUAUUUCCAUCACUCGAUGUAUUUCUUGUGCAUCGUGAUGGACAGUAAUCAGAGUCUUUUGUCCAUUUUCUCGGACUUGUGUCAUCAGCUGCUUCAGGUCCUCAUGUACCAGCAAUUUCUUCACCAAGGUGAGGUUCAUUCCAAUAGGAGUAGGCAGCAGUUAAUUAGAUGCAAUAAGUUGAUAAGAAGUGACAGGAGCUGAGUAUUUAAAAUCACAUCCUAGAAUUUUGGUAAAAUUGCAAACACAAACAUUAGAGUGACUAUAGAAUCACAAUGAGUUCUCAUACAAACACAACCUUUCCCAAUAUAUACAAGUACAGUUUUAAGCGUUUCAUUAGGAUGUAUCUCAAAGUGGCAAAUGUUUUGCUCAGUGUCAAGACAAAUGUCUUGAGAUUCCAGUGUGUUACUUUCACAGAUGAAACCUUUUUGUUCACGCACAAUGCAUGCAUUUACAUCAAUUGUUUGCCACUGUCCUCCCUUUUGAUGGGCCCAUACUUUAUGCUCUUUAGGAUAAAGUAUAGUUCCAUUGUGAUUGAGUAAGUAUAAAGGCAACAAUUUUAUCAUUUUCUGCAUAAUGGGUAAAGUUGACCAAUUGCCACCAAGCUUGAAAUUCUUUUUCAAAUUCUGAAGCAUUAUCCCAAAUCAAUUUUCGAAUUUCAGUGGGCAAAGUUUUUUCUUCUCCCUUUCUAAUAAUAGCUGCUGCUACAGAUUGUAUCCAUAACUGCGCUUGGAUACAGCUCAAGGCAAGGGAGGUAUUGCCUUGGGCUUUUCCAAGGGAAUUUAUAAUUAAUUGAUGAUCAUUUUCCUCAAGCCAAUAAGGAUGAUUUUAUUGGUUGUUCCAAUUUCCUUAGGUCAUCUGUAGUAGCAGUUAUUCUACUCAUUAAGACCUCAGCAGGAGGUCUUAAUGACCAGGAGCUGACCAGGAGCUGGUGGUUAAAAAUACUGCAGGUCUCCAAAAGCCUCCUACUUCUUCCUCACUCAACAUCAUUCGAUCUCCUUCUUUAAGAGAAACUCAACACACAUACUCAACUUCUGAUUCCCCUGACCGCCUUGAGAACUUCUCCUGUAUUUUAACCAACUCUGCCGGUGGCAACGGAAUCGUUCGCACAGUAGUGCAGAUUUCAUCAUUAUCAUCAACAGUAGUC
This 1314-nucleotide long non-coding RNA is filed under the name Anas platyrhynchos platyrhynchos (common mallard). RNAcentral's name for it is "lncRNA (ENSAPLG00000018651.1)". Lineage: Eukaryota; Metazoa; Chordata; Aves; Anseriformes; Anatidae. The record is from RNAcentral.